RNAcentral lists this transfer RNA (64 nucleotides) under Palaestes nicaraguae. RNAcentral describes it as "tRNA-Leu". It matches the Rfam family "tRNA". Rfam says of the family: Transfer RNA (tRNA) molecules are approximately 80 nucleotides in length. Their secondary structure includes four short double-helical elements and three loops (D, anti-codon, and T loops). Further hydrogen bonds mediate the characteristic L-shaped molecular structure. tRNAs have two regions of fundamental functional importance: the anti-codon, which is responsible for specific mRNA codon recognition, and the 3' end, to which the tRNAs corresponding amino acid is attached (by aminoacyl-tRNA synthetases). tRNAs cope with the degeneracy of the genetic code in two manners: having more than one tRNA (with a specific anti-codon) for a particular amino acid; and 'wobble' base-pairing, i.e. permitting non-standard base-pairing at the 3rd anti-codon position. The record is from RNAcentral. Lineage: Eukaryota; Metazoa; Arthropoda; Insecta; Coleoptera; Cucujidae.
UCUAAUAUGGCAGAAUAGUGCAUUGGAUUUAAAUCCCAAUUAUAAAGUCCCCCUUUUUUUAGAA